CGCACAUUGCACUCCCUGGCAUUCCGGGGAGUAUGCCUGUUCGAGCGUCAUUUCACCUCUCAAGCUUUGCUUGGUAUUGGACAUUAUCACUGUAAAAGUGAUAAGUCUGAAAAAUAGCGACAGUUUCAAUAACAACAGACGCAGUGAAAAUAUUCGUUGUGUUGUUAUUGCAAACUUGUCAAACAUAUAUCAAAAUCUUGACCUCGGAUCAGGUAGGGAUACCCGCUGAACUUAA
This 235-nucleotide unclassified non-coding RNA is filed under the name Lophodermium autumnale. Its description in RNAcentral is "partial contains 5.8S ribosomal RNA, internal transcribed spacer 2, and large subunit ribosomal RNA". Lineage: Eukaryota; Fungi; Ascomycota; Leotiomycetes; Rhytismatales; Rhytismataceae. The record is from RNAcentral.